AGGCCGAGUCGUCUGCAUUAUU
Molecule: microRNA, 22 nt
Filed under: Ascaris suum (pig roundworm)
Lineage: Eukaryota; Metazoa; Nematoda; Chromadorea; Rhabditida; Ascarididae
Description: asu-miR-92-5p
Gene: asu-miR-92-5p
Source: miRBase by way of RNAcentral